Molecule: ribosomal RNA, 441 nt
Filed under: uncultured bacterium
Lineage: Bacteria
Description: partial 16S ribosomal RNA
Rfam family: Bacterial small subunit ribosomal RNA
Source: RNAcentral
CCUACGGGAGGCAGCAGUGGGGGAUAUUGCACAAUGGGGGGAACCCUGAUGCAGCGACGCCGCGUGGGUGAAGGAGUGCUUCGGCAUGUAAAGCCCUAUCGGCAGGGAAGAAGCAAGACGGUACCUGACUAAGAAGCCCCGGCUAACUACGUGCCAGCAGCCGCGGUAAUACGUAGGGGGCGAGCGUUAUCCGGAUUAGCGGGGUGUAAAGGGAGCGUAGACGGCCAAGCAAGCCAGGGGUGAAAGGCCGGGGCCCAACCCCUGGACUGACCUUGGAAUUGCAUGGUCGGAGUGCGGGAGGGGCGGGCGGAAUUCUGGGUGUAGCGGUGAAAGGCGUAGAUAUCAGGAGGAACACCGGCGGCGAAGGCGGCCUGCUGGACCGCGACUGACGUUGAGGCUCGAAAGCGUGGGGAGCGAACAGGAUUAGAUACCCGGGUAGUC